This 387-nucleotide ribosomal RNA is filed under the name uncultured bacterium. RNAcentral describes it as "bacterial SSU rRNA". It matches the Rfam family "Bacterial small subunit ribosomal RNA", at positions 28 to 417 of the family's 1533-position model. The record is from RNAcentral.
GACGAACGCUGGCGGCGUGCUUAACACAUGCAAGUCGAGCGGUAAGGCCCUUUCGGGGGUACACGAGCGGCGAACGGGUGAGUAACACGUGGGUGACCUGCCUUUAGCUCUGGGAUAAGCCUGGGAAACCGGGUCUAAUACCGGAUAUGACUCCGCGGCGCAUGUUGUGGGGUGGAAAGCCUUGUGCGGCUGGAGAUGGGCCCGCGGCCUAUCAGCUUGUUGGUGGGUGAUGGCCUACCAAGGCGACGACGGGUAGCCGGCCUGAGAGGGCGACCGGCCACACUGGGACUGAGACACGGCCCAGACUCCUACGGGAGGCAGCAGUGGGGAAUCUUGCGCAAUGGGCGAAAGCCUGACGCAGCGACGCCGCGUGAGGGAUGACGGCCU